CCUACGGGAGGCAGCAGUGGGGAAUAUUGGGCAAUGGGCGCAAGCCUGACCCAGCAACGCCGCGUGAAGGAAGAAGGCUUUCGGGUUGUAAACUUCUUUUCUGAGGGACGAAGAAAGUGACGGUACCUCAGGAAUAAGCCACGGCUAACUACGGGCCAGCAGCCGCGGUAAUACGGAGGCGGCAAGCGUUAUCCGGAUUUAUUGGGUGUAAAGGGGGUGUAGGCGGGAAAGCAAGUCAGAUGUGAAAUCUCAGGGCUCAACCCUGGGCCUGCAUUUGAAACUGUUUUUCUUGAGUGCUGGAGAGGUAAGCGGAAUUCCGGGUGUAGCGGUGAAAUGCGUAGAUAUUAGGAGGAACACCAGUGGCGAAGGCGACUUUCUGGACUGUACCUGACGCUGAGGCGCGAAAGCGUGGGGAGCGAACGGGAUUAGAUACCCCAGUAGUC
This 443-nucleotide ribosomal RNA is filed under the name uncultured bacterium. RNAcentral's name for it is "partial 16S ribosomal RNA". It matches the Rfam family "Bacterial small subunit ribosomal RNA", at positions 338 to 795 of the family's 1533-position model. The record is from RNAcentral.